CGAACACAGGGAUGGUUCUCCAGCUGGUCCUAAGCGCCGAACAUGCGGUCAUACAGCGAAGUUCCGUGUAGUAGUCAUGAGUAAGGCUGUAUUCAGCCGGGUUUGGUUUGGAAGUGGAGCGCUGCUGUUCGUCGGUCGUGGACUACGAUGGGGUCGUACCGAUAAUUAUGCAGAGAUGACUCUAGGCUUGUGAUGAGAAGUGUUGCAUUUUUCACGCUUAGAGGUUUCAUUUGAGGUCCUGUCAGCAGUCUUGAGCGCUGCGUAAUAUGGCCUCCCAGAACCUUGAGAUUUUUAGACAUGUCUUGUGGACGUCUGUUACUGGAGGAUGGUUUUAUGAUCCACAUCAAAAUGUCAUCAUCAAUACUAUUCAGCUUUACUUCUGGAUUUUACUUCUUUGUGCUCCAUUUCUUAUCACCAUGUACUCAUCGCGAUCAACGACGAUUUGGGCCAUGUACUGCACGUCCACAUUCAUCGUCUUUGCCGCCAUCAAAUUCGUCAAUUACCAACUGCACAAAAUGUACGAUACAUCGGAGUAUGUCGAAGAAAAAUCUGAACCGGAUGUUUCUUCAGAAAAGGGCGGAAACAGCCGCGCGGCGGACAGCAUCGAGC
Long non-coding RNA from Pollicipes pollicipes, 609 nucleotides. RefSeq lists it as uncharacterized. NCBI's taxonomy places the organism in Eukaryota, Metazoa, Arthropoda, Thecostraca, Pollicipedomorpha, Pollicipedidae. The transcript has 3 exons. The record is from RefSeq and is a predicted model, not a curated record.